UGGCAUCAAGUAUCUGGGAGUGCAACUGGGUGAUGACUCUGCAGAGAAAAGGAACUGGGAGGGAGUGGUGGAGAAGAUGGAGGGCAGGCUGGGGAGGUGGCGCUGGCUCUUGCCCAGGAUGUCAUACAGAGGCAGAUCAAUCAUUAUUAACAACCUGGUGGCCUCUUCUCUGUGGCACCGGCUAGCUGUGUUGGAGCCUCCUGCAGGUCUUUUGGGGAGAUUGCAGAGUAUUAUUGUUGACUUUUUUUGGGACAAGCUCCAUUGGGUCCCACAAAGUAUAUUAUUUCUACCUAAAGAAGAGGGAGGACAGGGCAUAGCAAGUCUAGCAAGCAGGAAAGCAGCUUUCAGGUUACAGUUUUUACAAAGCUUUCUAUACGGACCCCAAAAUCUGCCGUGGAGACAAGUAGCUGGAAUUGUUUUUGGUUGGGUUGGAGGUUUAGGUUUUGGAAAAACGUUGUUUUCUCUGGACUGUUCUUGCUUCAAUCUAAAUGUUUUACCACCUUUUUAUCUAAGUGUUUUGAAAACAUGGAGUGUGAUGGAGGCUGGUUGCUUAGAAGCCACAUCCUCUUUGUACUGGCUGCUAAGGGAGCCCAUUCUAAAGGGGGCUCGUCUAGCGGCUGCAUGGGAGGAGGUGCCAAACAUGACUGGAUUACUGAAGGAGAAGGAGAUAACAACUGUCCAGGAGUUGUUGCAGCUGGCUGGUGCUCAGGUGGACAAUGCAGAAAACGUGGCAGGAAGACUGGCAGUCCGAUCCACACGUGUGGUGGGACGUAGACUGGACGGUUUUAAGAAGGCCUUGUCCUCAGAAGACAGAGCCCUUCUGACUGGAUGGUUUAAAGGAGACUUAACACCUGAUCAUAGUGACCCUUUCCCUAAGAUAUGCAUCCGGCCUUUUGGGAAGGACUGUGAGGCUUUGGGUCCUCUGCUGGACAGGCAGGAGUGGAUGUCCAUGGACUCUGCGAGUGGAAAGUCCCUUUACAUGGGAUGUGUGAAAGCUUUAAAUAAGGAAAAACUUAAAGGCAAGACUGACACUCCCUGGAGGGAUCAUCUCAGAGUAAAAGCUGAGGUCAAACCAGCAUGGAGUACACUGUACAAGGCUCCAGUCACAAAAAACAUUGGGGACUUGCAUUGGCGUGUUUUACAUGGAAUCAUAGCAGUCAAUGGUUUUGUCUCUAUUCUAAACCCUAGUGAUUCAGAUAAGUGUCUCUUCUGUAACCUGAGGGAAACCAUUUUUCACUGCUUUGUUGACUGUUCACGACUGAUUCCACUGUUCCAAAACCUGAGGUCCGUUGUGUCUUUGUUCAAAGAAAAAUUUAGUAAACAGUUGUUCAUAUUUGGUUUCUCCUAUAGGAAAAACAAAAAGAAGAAAGGCAAGCUCCUGAAUUUUCUUUUUGGUCAAGCCAAGAUGGCCAUUUAUUUAAGCAGGAGGGAAACGAUAGAUGGAGGCCAGAGACGUGAUUGUGUGUCAAUUUUCAAGUGUCUUGUUAGAGCCCGGAUACGGUUUGAAUAUAAUUAUUACGCAAAGAUGGAGGAUGUGGAUACGUUUAAAGGUGUUUGGGACAGUGAAGGCAUCCUUUUCUCGAUAAAAGACCCAGACAUUACCUUUACAGAUCUGUUGCUUUAGUUUGUUUUUGGUUUUUGUCUCUUGUUUUUUUCUUUUUUCUUUUUGUUUUUAUUUAUUUAUUUUAUUGUGUGUUGUGUGUGUCUGUGUUUUUGUUUUUGUAAAAAUAUGUAAAUAAAUAAGCGGUUUUAAAACUCAAACUCUCUCUCUCUCUCACUUUGACUCUCUCUCUCUCUCGCUCACGCUC
This is a long non-coding RNA of Gadus morhua (Atlantic cod), 1808 nucleotides long. NCBI's taxonomy places the organism in Eukaryota, Metazoa, Chordata, Actinopteri, Gadiformes, Gadidae. The record is from Ensembl.